UCUCCAUUUCAUAUCACUUUUUUUCCUUUUCUUUUCAACCCCAGGCAAUCAGUGGUAAGAGACUUGCCCGGGGUCACACAAUUAUUAAGUGUCAAGUAUCUGAAACUGGAUUUGAACUCAGGUCCUCCUGACUCCAGAGCCAGCACUCUAUCUGUUGUUUACCUAGUUGCCCCUUGCUUUCUUUUAUUUUUUGUACUAUUUUUUUCCAAAUACAUGCAAAGAUAAUUUUCAAUAUUCACCUUUGCCAAAUCUCAUGUUCCAAAUUUUUCUCUCUCUCUUUCCCCCUUGCCUCUCCCCAAACAAUCCAAUAUAGGUAACCCUUGCUUUCUUUUAAAUUUAAAUUUUUUUAUUUUUAUUAUUUUUGAUUUAUUUUGCUGAGGCAAUUGGGGUUAAGUGACUUGCCCAGGGUCACACAGCUAAAAGGUGUUAAGUAAAUUCAUAUUUGAACUCAGAUCCUUCUGACUUCAGGGCUGGUACUCCAACCACCAGCUGCCCCACCCUUGCUUUCUUUUAACAGACAAACAUAAUGAAUUCUUCAUGUUACUUUCAAUGCUUUCCUGUUUGUCUGUACUUCCUUCUGAACUUGCUUCUCUUCCCUCCUGCACAUUUUAAAAAUAUUUCAAAAUAACCUUUUUUUCUUGACAUCAUUAUUGCUAAACCCUCCCUUUUCCCCUCAAACCUUUCCCACUCCUAAUUAAAAGCCCAGAAAAAGAAAAACAUCCCUGUAACAAACAAACAUCCUCAAGCAGAAUGAAUGCCCUCUGAGGCCAUGUCCAAAAAAGUCUCUUUCUUCCCUUUUAUGUCCAUUACUUCUGGGGAAGGGUCAGAGAGGACGGGAAGGUAGCACAAUUCAUUCCAAAUCAGUCUUUAUUCAUUGCACUGAUUAAUAUUGUUGAAGCUUGUUUGUAUAAACUAUUCUCCUGCUUCUGCUCACUUCAUUCUGCAUCAGUUAUUCUCUGAAAUUGCCUCUUUGGUCAUUUCUUAUACUGUGAUAAUUUUCCAUUAUGAUCUUUUUUUAAAAAAAUUCAUUUUAUUAUUGGUUUAUUUUUAUUUUCAAAGCACAUACAUAGAUAGUUUUCAACAUUCACCCUUGCAAAACCUCAUGUUCUAAUUUUUUUUUCUCCCUGCCUUCCUUCCAUUCUCCCCUAAAUGCAAGCAAUCCAAUAUAUAUUAAACAUGUGCAAUUUUUCUAUAACAUUUCUACAAUGAUCAUGCUGCACAAGAAAAAAAAUCUGAUCAAAAAGGAAAAAAAUGAGAAAGAAACAAUGCAAGUAAACAACAACAACAAAAAAGUGAAAAUACUAUGCCUUGAUCCACACGCAGUUCCCACAGUACUUUGUCUGGAUGCAGAUGGCUCUCUCCAUCAUGAGACCAUUAGAACUGGGCUGAAUCCUCUCAUUGUUGGAAAGAGCCACGUCCAUCAGAAUUGAUCAUCAUAUAAUCUUCUUGUUGCCGUGUACAAUGAUCUCCUGGUUCUGCUCAUUUUACUCAGCAUCAGUUCAUGUCAGUCUCUCCAGGCCUUUCUGAAAUCAUCCUGCUGGUCAUUUCCUAUAGAACAAUAAUAUUCCAUAACAUCCAUAUGCCAUCACUUAUUCAGCCAUUCUCCAAUUGAGGGGCAUCCACUCAGUUUCCAGUUUCUUGCCACUACAAAAAGAACUGCCACAAACAUUUUUGCACACAUAGGUUCUUUUUCCUUUUUUAGGAUCCCUUUGUCAUUUUGUUCUUACGCUGUUCCUCAAGUGAUGGGCAUCCCUUUAUAUUCUAGCUCUUUGCUUUUUUCCUCCCUCCUCCCCUUUUGACAGCCC
Molecule: long non-coding RNA, 1805 nt
Filed under: Sarcophilus harrisii (Tasmanian devil)
Lineage: Eukaryota; Metazoa; Chordata; Mammalia; Dasyuromorphia; Dasyuridae
Description: lncRNA (ENSSHAG00000030036.1)
Source: RNAcentral